UGCACUCCAGCCUGGGACGACAGAGCGAGACUCCAUCUCAAAAAAAAAAAUGACUUGAACCCGGAAGGCAGAGCCUGGUGCACUCUAAACACAGGAGCUCAGGAACCGCGAGAGAGCUCAAAAUAGAUCCAUGACACAAGGUGACAAAGAUAGUAUUGGAAUUUUUUGGUGAGGAUAUGGGAAAAAGGAUCCAGCUGUUCACCACAAAACUGAAAUUUAAUUUCUCUGGGACGUUUCUGCUCUUUCCUUGCUAAACUUCCCUCCUUCUCCUUUCCCGCCUCCCACCCGGCCCCAACAUCCCCUCUAUUGUCCAGCCCCAGCCUUCUGCUGGCACAGCCCUGACCAAAAGCGGGGUGUGGGGGGUUGCCCACAGCGGCCCCCAAGUGUCCCUGGGACGCGUGAAUCACGACAAGGGUUACAGCUUGCCAGGCUCCCACUGCACACGAAGCACAUUUGGACAUUGCAGACUCUGCAUCUCUGUGGCAAGGACUGCCACAACCCCCUUGGACCCAGGAACCCCCAGGAGGAAGCGCUAGUACCGGGUGUCAAUGUGGCUACCCAGCGCCCGCUGCUUCUGAAGCUAACCUCGAAUGCGUCGCCCACAUCCAUGGCUUCUCUUCUGGGCGCUUCACAGUAACCGUGGAGUAAGGUGGGUAAGUUACCGCUACUCAUUUUCCUUGAAAUCCCAUUUCUCAGGUGAGAGAGAAAAGCUCAGAGAGGCCAAGGGCUCGGGGCAGCUGUGGUGCCACGCCCAGCCCUUUGGUCUGAACUGCCCCAUAGACUGCAUACAGGUCCCAUUGUGUCCGGACUUGGUGGGUUCUUGGUCUCACUGACUUCAAGAAUGAAAUCGCAGACCUUCACGGUGAGUGCUGUAGCGAGUUCUACAGUUCUUAAAGGCGGCGUGGCCGGAGUUUGUUCCUGACGUUCGGAUGUGUUCGGAGUUUCUUCCUUCUGAUAGGUUCGUGGUGCGGCUGGCUCAGGAGUGAAGCUGCAGACCUUCGCCAUGGGAAACCAAGGAUGAAGGAGAGGAGAAUGCCUUGCCCAAGACCUCAGUGCUAAAAUUCUCGGCAGCUGUGGUUUGUAUUCACCUGGGGCUGGCAGCAUCGGGACCACCAGGAGACCCGGUGGAAAUGCACACCUCUGGGGCGCACUCCAGACUUGCUGCAUCGGAAGCCAUGGCACAACCAGCUCUCCAGGUGACUGAGGCUAACACAAGUUUGAGAACUACUGCCCUGGCCCUUGCUUUCUCGGCUGGGACUGACGUUCUGCACAGGUAGGACCCAGUGACAAACUUUCACCUCCCAACUGCUCCAUGUACCUUGGUCCCCACAAAAGCCUUCCUCACACACAAGUAAACUCCAGAAACAAAGGAUAGGAAAGAGCUAGAAGCAGACACUGGUGGUUAUGAACAUCUUCACAUGAUAGACAAUGCAGCUCCAAAGUGAGGAAAACUGGCUUGCUAUUUCAGCACAAACAAGACGCCAACCAGCCAAAAACAUUGGUACACAAGCAAAAGAAAACCUAGGCCAGGCACGGUGGCUCACACCUGUAAUCCCAGCACUUGGGGAGGCCGAGGCGGGUGGAUCACCUGAGAGGUCAGGAGUUCA
This 1607-nucleotide long non-coding RNA is filed under the name Homo sapiens (human). RNAcentral describes it as "PREDICTED lncRNA (TCONS_00091766)". The record is from RNAcentral. Lineage: Eukaryota; Metazoa; Chordata; Mammalia; Primates; Hominidae.